AUACGUAGGGUGCAAGCGUUAAUCGGAAUUACUGGGCGUAAAGCGUGCGCAGGCGGUUUUGUAAGACAGUGGUGAAAUCCCCGGGCUCAACCUGGGAACUGCCAUUGUGACUGCAAGGCUGGAGUGCGGCAGAGGGGGAUGGCAUUCCGCGUGUAGCAGUGAAAUGCGUAGAUAUGCGGAGGAACACCGAUGGCGAAGGCAAUCCCCUGGGCCUGCACUGACGCUCAUGCACGAAAGCGUGGGGAGCAAACAGGAUUAGAUACCCUGGUAGUCCACGCCCUAAACGAUGUCAACUGGUUGUUGGGGAUUUAUUUUCUCAGUAACGAAGCUAACGCGUGAAGUUGACCGCCUGGGGAGUACGGCCGCAAGGUUAAAACUCAAAUGAAUUGACGGGG
RNAcentral lists this ribosomal RNA (395 nucleotides) under uncultured bacterium. RNAcentral describes it as "partial 16S ribosomal RNA". It matches the Rfam family "Bacterial small subunit ribosomal RNA", at positions 523 to 918 of the family's 1533-position model. The record is from RNAcentral.